UCCGGGCGCCAUGGCGGCCGCGGGAAUUCGAUUAGAGUUUGAUCAUGGCUCAGAUUGAACGCUGGCGGCAUGCUUUACACAUGCAAGUCGAGCGGCAGCGCGGGGGCAACCCUGGCGGCGAGCGGCGAACGGGUGAGUAAUGCAUCGGAACGUGUCCCGUAGUGGGGGAUAACCCGGCGAAAGCCGGAUUAAUACCGCAUACGACCUACGGGUGAAAGCGGGGGAUCGCAAGGCCUGGCGCGAAUGGGUUGGCCGAUGCCCGAUUAGCUAGUUGGUGAGGUAAAGGCUCACCAAGGCGAUGAUCGGUAGCUGGUCUGAGAGGAUGAUCAGCCACACUGGGACUGAGACACGGCCCAGACUCCUACGGGAGGCAGCAGUGGGGAAUUUUGGACAAUGGGGGCAACCCUGAUCCAGCCAUUCCGCGUGAGUGAAGAAGGCCUUCGGGUUGUAAAGCUCUUUUGUCCGGAACGAAACGGUUUGCGUGAAUAGCGCCGACUACUGACGGUACCGGAAGAAUAAGCACCGGCUAACUACGUGCCAGCAGCCGCGGUAAUACGAAUCACUAGUGAAUUCGCGGCCGCCUGCAGGUCGACCAUAUGGGAGAGCUCCCAACGCG
RNAcentral lists this ribosomal RNA (616 nucleotides) under uncultured beta proteobacterium. Its description in RNAcentral is "partial 16S ribosomal RNA". It matches the Rfam family "Bacterial small subunit ribosomal RNA", at positions 1 to 603 of the family's 1533-position model. The record is from RNAcentral. Lineage: Bacteria; Pseudomonadati; Pseudomonadota; Betaproteobacteria.